UACGAAGGGGGCUAGCGUUGCUCGGAAUCACUGGGCGUAAAGGGCGCGUAGGUGGCGGCUUAAGCGUGCGGUGAAAGCUCGGGGCUCAACCCCGAGUCGGCCGUGCGAACUGAGUCGCUUGAGCACUGUAGAGGCAGGCGGAAUUCCGGGUGUAGCGGUGGAAUGCGUAGAGAUCCGGAAGAACACCGGUGGCGAAGGCGGCCUGCUGGGCAGUAGCUGACACUGAGGCGCGACAGCGUGGGGAGCAAACAGG
Molecule: ribosomal RNA, 253 nt
Filed under: uncultured bacterium
Lineage: Bacteria
Description: partial 16S ribosomal RNA
Rfam family: Bacterial small subunit ribosomal RNA
Source: RNAcentral